CCCUUAGAUGUUCUGGGCAGCACGCGCGCUACACUGACAUGUUCAACAAGCCUCCUAGUUCGACAGGAUUUGGGAAAUCUUUGAACGCAUGUCGUGAUAGGGAUAGAUCAUUGCAAUUAUUGAUCUUGAACGAGGAAUUCCUAGUAAACGCGAGUCAUCAGCUCGCAUUGAUUACGUCCCUGCCCUUUGUACACACCGCCCGUCGCACCUACCGAUUGAAUGUUUCGGUGAAGAUUCCGGAUAGGACUUUUUUGAUUUAUUUCAAUUUUGUCUUAAAAGCUAUCUAAACCUCAACAUUUAGAGGAAGGUGAAGUCGUAACA
Molecule: ribosomal RNA, 321 nt
Filed under: uncultured eukaryote
Lineage: Eukaryota
Description: partial 18S ribosomal RNA
Rfam family: Eukaryotic small subunit ribosomal RNA
Source: RNAcentral